GGGGGGGGAGCGAGCGCUCGCGGGCCCCGUGGUGGGUUCGGCUGCGCGGCGGGGCUGAGGCGGCCGCGAAGGUCCGAGCGCAGAAAGUGGACACUGGGUUCCUGAACCUCCUCACUGAAGACAGCCAGGCCUCAAGCACAGGGUAGAGUGGUGCUGCUUCUUGGAAAAAUUGAAAAAGCUCUCUGGACGACAGGGGCCCAAAGCUGAUGGCAGACAAUGUCAGCCACUAACAACAUAGCCCAGGCUCGGAAGCUGGUGGAGCAGCUCCGCAUCGAGGCCGGGAUCGAGCGCAUCAAGGUCUCCAAAGCCUCAUCUGAACUCAUGAGCUACUGUGAGCAGCACGCCCGGAAUGACCCCCUGCUCGUGGGAGUCCCUGCCUCCGAGAACCCCUUUAAGGACAAGAAGCCUUGUAUUAUCUUAUAGCUUUGUUUUCUUGCGCUCAACUCCUCCCCGACACCCAGCCUCCAGUCAGGGCGCCAUUCAGUACAGAGUCCAGCAAAACUCUUAAUUCCAAAAGAAAUGCAAAAAGUUGCCACUGCCCAGAUGGGUUAAGAUGGAUCCUCUGAUUUCAGAUGGAUUUUCAGACCCCGCAAUGCAGCCCCCUUAAGGGCCGGGCUUCUGCACCGCUUCCGAUUGGAAAUAACUGAAAUGCCCAAGUGGUGUGCUAACAGUUUUUGAAAACUGAGUUGACCUUUGGGUUGUGGCUCAGAGCCGAGCUGGGCCAGGGUAUGGGAAGGAGGUGGGUGAACUAGCCGCUGGCCUGGGCAACCCGGCCAGGUGGCAAGUCUCACACUGUUGGCCGUUUGUGAUGACUUCUGCCAGGUUGAUGAUGUGAUGCUUUUUUUGGGGGGGGGCUCUCAAGCAGAAAUGCAGCCUGGGGAGGCCUACACAGUGAGUAGGGCUGCCUGGUGCUUCAGGGUGUAACAAGGUGUGAGAUUAUCUGGAAGUAGCUGUGAAGGCCGGGGAGUUUGAGAGACACUCUCAGUGCUCCCUCUGCACUCUCGCCCCACCACUUGGAGCGUCUGAUCUGCGGGAGGAAAUGAGAUGUGUCUCCCAACAUCCUUGGAAAUGUGAGGGGUCCUAGAGUUGACCGUUGGGGACAGGACAGAGGCUUUUUUACAAUUGCUGUUUCCUCUGUUGUGACAAGGACAGUUAAAGGAUGGGAGGCAGGAGGACAGGCCCAACGCACACCUGCCCUCACCUGCCAGCACUACCAACAGCUGCCGGGACUCCCGCCCUGAGCUCUGGGUCCAGCUGCCUGCAACCUGGGAGGAGGUCAGAAUCCCAGGCCUAGAAGGAGCAUCCUGGGCAGCCGGCAGAAGGCACUUGGGGCCAGGCCCAGAGCCCCGAGCUCCCCUCGUGCCCCUGGGUCUCAGACCUUGCAUGGCUGCACCUCGCAGCCGGCCCACACAGGGUGCAGACCAAGGCCAACUUUCUCCCUGGCAUCCAGCUCUCUCCGGCCGGUCCGGGAGCACCUGGGGCCUGGGGAGUCUGGCUUCUCUGAAGCAGCACUUGGGCGGGGAGGGUCCGCAAAGCCCCCCCACGAUGCUGCCCCCUCUCACUGCACAGGGAGCCUGCACUCUGACAGAGCAGCAGGACAAACGAAGCUCAUUCUAGAAACCCCGGGCAUGCCCAGUUGGGGGCAGGGCAUGGCGGGACUGAAGCCAAGGGGCAGAGGGGGGCAGCUGGCAGAGCGCAUCUGCCAGCGAGGACCCCCCCACCAGCUUUCUGCUGACUGGUAACUGUUUGGUCUGGGUCAGAAGCCUUAAUCCCUUGAGCCCAAGCCGGGGCCAUGCACUCCUGGCCCCCGAGAGCAGGAGGGGUCCUGAUCAGCGUCAGGAGAGCCCCAGGGCCCAGACCUCCCCUCUCUCUCCACCCCCUGCCCUGCCAGCUGUGCCAAGCCCAGCCCCACUGCGUGUCCCCACCCAAGUGACCCGAACAGCCAGUGGGAAGCAAAGCCCAGGACCCCUGGCUGAGGGGUGGGAGGAACUUGAGUUCAGCGGCCACAUCGUCCCCUCCUGGGCCAGGGGUCCCCUAGUGGGAAUGCCAGGGGCCCAGCUGUCUUGGUAAACUGAGGCUCCUGGAAGGUUUGGACCACUGUCCUCCCCAUCCACCCACCCAAGGCCACCCCUGCCCAAGCACCACAGUCUCGGAGCCCGGGGGGGGCUGUCAGCAAGGCCCCACUCUGGGCUUCUUUCUAGCCAAGAAAAAGGGCCUCUUUCUUCCCUUCCUUUCCUCCUUGUAGAGUAAUCGUCAGUGUCCCUAAUGCAGGCUUGAAGCAUCAGUGCCCACGUGACAGUGUGUUCUGCUUGUGGUUUCCUUGUGCACGUGUCGGCAUGAAAACACGUUUUGAGGGUAUUUUGGCGGCCGUAAGUGCCCCCAUGAGGCCAGGAGUGGACCUUGGGGAAACCAGCAUGUCUCAAGCACGUCACAGGGGAGUGAAGGAAACACAAGAAGGCAGGGCUGGGUGACUUGGAGUCUCCCUCCUCCCACAGCCUCCUCUCCCCUCCCCCUUUCUCUCCCAAGGUGUCCCCCAGCCCGAGAAUUAAGUGACUGGGUUGUGACCUCUGGCCCACGGGAUGGGGACACAAACCUCUGGGCCGGGCAGAAGGUGCUCUUUCUUCCUUUGAUGUCCCGGCCACUCUGUCCAGACGUCGCUGGGCCUCCAGGCAGCUCAUCCAUCUCGAGCUGCAGGCAGGCAGGAAAAGGCCAUCGGACCCCUGAUCCCAGCAUGAGUGACCAGAGGCAGUUUCCGGGACACGGUGAGGCCACCAAAGGUCGCUCGUCCUUCAAGAGCCUAUGCGGGGUCCUCUGAAAAGAAGCCAUAUGUCAAUACCCUGCCCCUUCCUUCUCUGUCUGCAGAGACCAUUGCCAAACAUUGUCAAGACCAGUUCCAGUUCUCAGAGCAAACUGUGCUUCUAGCAGAUUCUACCCCAACUGUGUUUGGAUGUCCAGUGGUUUUUAUUUCUGAUUUUUAAAAAAAAAUUCCAGGUGUGCCAUACCCACUUUCCUGCAGUGUUUUAAUAUUGUGUGGAAUUGUUAAUACCAAGUGAAUUAAUCCACAAUAAAAAGGCUCACUGUCCCUUUC
This 3088-nucleotide long non-coding RNA is filed under the name Sus scrofa (pig). RNAcentral's name for it is "lncRNA (ENSSSCG00030007682.1)". The record is from RNAcentral. Lineage: Eukaryota; Metazoa; Chordata; Mammalia; Artiodactyla; Suidae.